UAACAAGGUUUCCAUAGGUGAACUUGCGAAAGGAUCAUCGCCGAGACCCA
Molecule: ribosomal RNA, 50 nt
Filed under: Sabal gretherae
Lineage: Eukaryota; Viridiplantae; Streptophyta; Magnoliopsida; Arecales; Arecaceae
Description: partial 18S ribosomal RNA
Source: RNAcentral